AAAAACGGGAGAAGCAGGAGUAACUGGAGGAUGGGAGAACUAAGCCCGCGGAUCGCGCCCUCACGGCCAUCCUCUGUUUACACAAUGCACGUUAUUCCACACGACCUAUUCAGUUCACCCCGGGGGUUCUAUAUUCUACAAAAAUUACUAACUCAUUCUUUAACUUCGUAAAGCUUAAAGGUAGGCGAUCGGCCGAAAAGAUAUCAACACCGGCAAAGCACAAGCGGGAGAAAAUCACCGACGGUUACAUCGGGCAUGAGCGUAACACCAUACAUGAAGGGCCAGUUCUUGAUCCAACAUACACAGCAGUGAUUACAACCCUAAAACCUUUACUAUAUUGCAUAGCUAAAUUCACAAUCCCGGGAGUACUCCUAAGGGUCACCAUUUUUAACCUACAGUACUACGGCAACGGGAGUCAGAUCGGAAAAGGCUGGGGACCUAGUGCCUCGUGCUCAACACUGCACUACGCCAAAUCCCAUUACGGGAGACCAAGUUCAAAUCAUUCAAUUUCCACAAAAAGGCCUGUUGAUCGACGACGAAGUCACUAACGCCCUACAAUAACCGAGCUAGGUAUGCUGAAUACCCAACCAAGAACAACCGAAGGAGCGACCUGGGAACGACCGCCGCUCAGUGGUUCCAAAUCCCGAAUUCCUGACCAAAAACCGAAAAAUGAAGUUUAUAUUAGAAGAAUUUUACCUGUGGGGUCAGGUAGAGGGGUUUUUCAGGGAACCUUUUGUAGGUACCCGUUAUGUAAGAGCGGGGAUAAGGUGUGAAGAGUCGUCAAUUGUCGGGUAAUACCGAUAAUUGUCGACUCGAAGUAUCCCGAAAAAUCUCUCUCUCCUCCCGAAUUCGUUGGACUGACUAGACGCACCAUACCGCCUGCAUAAACUAAGAUAAGUGGCCACACUAAUUUGUAAACGAUGAGUGAUUAUUCUAAUAAUUUAGGAGAAAGCACCAAAUCUAUAGCGUAGUCACCGAUACUCGUAUCUAUAUAUUGUUCUUUUUAUUGCCAUUGUAGCUGUACCAUUUUAUAUAUGCUCGUGAUCGUUUGUCUUUAUUCAUGCAACUGGAAUUAUUCAUUUGUGAGCGUGUCAACUUUUAAUCAAGCACUGUUCAUCAAGAGGACCCAAGAAAUUCAGACUUUAUUGUAAUGGCACCGCUCUCGUUGCUUCUAUAAUUAAAACAUAAUGCAAGUGCGGUACUUUAUUUAUUGUUUGUUAUCAUUAAAUAUUCAUUCAUCCGUGUCCGUUUUAUUUUUAUGGUGAUCCGUCCGGAACAUUUAUGUACUUAUAUAUGUCCAUGUGAUCUGUUUCUGUGUACUAAUUAAUAUAUUACGGUGAGAUAGAUCGUAGCAAAUAUAAAGGAAAAAAGAUAAUUCUUUACAUCUUCGAGGGUCGGUGGGUCGCAGGUGUUGCAUUUAGCUAUUGGAAUCUCAUUCGUAACGAAGCGCUCGAGCAGUCAUAGUCGGUCGUGCGCUAUGCUAGAAAAAUAUCGUUGUGUUCAAAGUGAUAUAUCUUCAAGUAGAAUUGAGAUAUUUUAAUUCUACAAAAUGGAGUCUGUUCCUGGAUGUAAGUACACUUAUUAUAUCAUUGCGAUUUUUUACAUUAAUCAAACGGCGAGCGACAAAAAUUGUGAACAUCUACCGUAAAUUGUCGCGCUCGAUGCGGAAAUAAGUUAUGUUCACAUUGAGUAAAAGUUAAUAAUUUUAAAUAAUUCUCAUACUGGUUAAGUGCCACGUUAUUGUAUACACUCUUGAGUAAUACCUCAACAAAAAAUUAGGUGCACCAAGUUGCCCCUCUGGUAAUGGUGAAUUUUUUAAUAAAUGGAUGCGGGAAUUCAGGCACGACGCGUGCUGGCGCGGCAUGUAUACUAUACUGACAAUGAGCGAAGUGCACCACAGUAGGGUGCGAAUUCAAGUGAUUUGUUUCUCAUAAAUAUAAUUAUUAUUGUACCGGAUUCGACUAUCAUUUUCAUUAACAAAUCAUCACUGAUUCUUAGAAAUUUUCUAUUAUUGUCUAACUUUUGAAUUUAUUUUCCAGGCUUCCGUGAUAGCAGAAAGGAGUUGUUUAAUUUAUUCGCUAAUCAUUUGAAUGAUAAUGCAAAUGAUGUGUACAAAAUCUUGGAGGUCGAAUUGUCUAAAAAAUGUAAUUUCUUAAUAAAUAAGUAUUUGUAUUCAAAUUCAUAUUUACAUUUCCAUACUUUCCCAAUCUACUUUAUUCUACACAUGUACGUAAAAAUAAAUUAUUUUUAUUCAAAACCCCCCGGUAUUUUGUUUUUUAGGAAUUUGACUUCAGAUUCGUUUUUAGCGACCUCAAAAACCCCCGAGUAAUGAAUCUGACAGUGAUUGGAUAAUACCAUAGAUAUAAUAAUACCUUCCAUUUUUGGCAAGCGAUUUGGGAUUUAGAUCCACUGCGCGCGGGGCCUCAAAGACCUACAACUAACACUACGAUUUCAAAAUGGCGUGGUACCUCCGGGAUCGCUACAAGUAAAGUUUGGACCUUACCUGGGUUUCUCCAGCCCAGUACUCCUACACAACACUUCACAACCGGGUAACAAGACCGCCUUACGGAAGUUACGCAAAAAUACAAUAGACUGGACUAUUUGUCGGGAGAAGAUGCCAAAAACAAACGGUUGACGGGAGAUAUUUAUGUAACUACGGUAACUGUGCAGCACAGAAUAGAACGAGCGGAGCCUCUUAUUCUUCCUCGUCCGGCCUUGCUCAUGCAGAUUGGUGGUGCCUCUUCCGCAAUUAGGUCGCCUAUCAGGUAUCACGGGAUUGUCGUCUUUUCUCUUGAGAGUCCGGACUAAAGGCUAGAACCUCCACAGUAGUCCCCCUCAACCACGAGAAGGCCUGGUAUUAGGGCUGGGCUCACCUGCUUGCCUCACUCCCUGUUGCCUUCUCCUUUAGUAAGGCACAUCGACCUCGAGAGUUGCCUCCAGUGUCAGGAGUUUUUCGGUUCAAGUCCAGCGCCAGGCUGGGGAGUUGUGGGGUGGGAGGUAGUGCUGCUAAAACCGCAUUACCCUGUACGCCGCCACCACAGCAUCCAAUAGGUUGUCGGAAGCCACUUCUUCCCGGUCAUUUAUCGGGAGGAUCUGCACGUCGGCCGUGCAGCCUUAUAUGCCGACAAAGCUGGCGACUGGAGUAGAUCAGGUGUUCUUGCCGAAGCGAAUCCCUGAGCGGUUUCCCAGCCACAACCAGGGAUCUUCGGAAGUUUCUUGUUUGGGUAGAGCGAGCACACCAGGAGUUUCUCCUUCGAGUGGUCCUUCGGGGUGAAUCGGUCAUCCUGCCAGGCCGAGAUCCCUCGCUCCGCCGUCCCUCGUUCUACCGUACGAAAUGGACGAACAGCUGGAUGAAUAAAAAAGGGCCCCCCCCCCCCGAGUGUCCAUAAGUUUUCCUGUGGAUAACAUUCAAAAAGUAGUGAAAUCCCGAUGAAGCUUCUCAGAUGCAAAGAACUUCACUAAAAAGCCCGCCAAAUCCGAUGUGCGCGAUUUGAUUUUGUGUGCCACAUUUCUGUGCAUCAUUGAUCCGUGUGCCACAUUAUCUUGUGCCUAUAGUGCUGUGUUCCAUCGAACCUUGGGCCAGUGAGACCACCUCGGCGAUAUUUUUUAGGUUUGUUUCUCGUAUCACGCAAUUGAAUGCAAUUGUAGAGAAGACUUUGAAGUGAUCAAGGUGAUAGACCAGUCAAUAAAGUAAAAAAAGAUGCGAUUUUUCUACUUGAAUUAUUCAGACAACGACUUGUACUAUCUUUUGAAGUAAAGUGCGUAGAUGAGAACCUAUAUGUUGGGUAACGAGAAAUCGCACUAGAAAAUGAACCGUUUUUCUAUUUUAUACCCGAGAGUAAAUGUCCCACUUCUCUCCCAUGCGUAAGAUGGUUUUUGUCCGAUACAUACGUUUUGCACAAUUGCGUUGUAAAUAAUAAGAGGGCUCAUCUUGUUGGAUGCAUAACUAUAGGGAAAAUGACAUUGAAAUUCUGCAAACGGCUCCGAAAAGUAGAGAUUAGGAUCGUCAAUCCGUCUAUCUCAGAUUUCGUGAAGGUGCGAAAUGUCUCAAAAAUGGCCCCAAAAGUGGCUCCAAACACUUGAAAGCGCGCUCGAGACGGAAUUGAGUAGUGGUGGUGGAGGGACGAGCCAGCGGAAGAGAGUACACAACUACACUGACAAUAAAAUCCUAAGUAUGUACUAUGCAAAGCAGCGCGUGGCCAUAUAAUCCGAUCUUCUCCCCCCAUGAAUCCGCUGUGGACAUAAACAAAUUGAAUGAAAAAAAAAUCAAAAAAUGUAAUUGUUGUUGAGGAAGCUGGAUAAGCGAUAUUAUUGAAGUAUUGAGAGUGCAUUUAGAGAAUAACGGAAUCAAUUCAUUAUCUCGUACUUUAGCAAUUAGACGGGUGAGUAUACACACAUACAUACCCAAUUUUGUACUGACUCCGUAAGCCUCAGAAUCAAAUGAUAGAGAGAUGAUCAGAUGUCCUACACAAUUGUAGGUGAAGUGUGUAAACAUACACUCGAUAUGUGUGUGCGUUAGUGCAUGCGCAUUGUGAUGGAGCUGAAUUAACGAUGGCUUGUACAUUAUAAUUGUAUUUUAAAUUUUUCUAAAUGAUUAGCAACAUCGAUUCCUCGAUUCUUCAUGACCAAAAAUAGGGUGAACUCCAAUUCCAAACAAUAACCAAAUAACCUGCGCUGACUAAUAAUUCGCCUCAGAGAUCAACACAGAUUUAAACAUCUCGACCCAUGACUUGUUGGAGCCGAUCAAUGUAAAAAUAAACCCACAGAAAUAAGGAGUAAUAAAAUAUAAACCCGGCAUAUGUAUACUGGGUCUUUGAAGAAACAGUUAGAAUUUAAAACUUGAAAAUCUCUCUUAUGGGUAGAGGGUAGGCUUCGGCUACCCCCCCUAAAAACUCCAGGUAGUAGGGGGACUAAAAGCCCAAAGGACCGCCGGGUCUGGCAGUUUACCUACAGACGCCAGUGAGAGCAACUCGCUUCCGGUCCCUAAAAGGGUCAGUAUACACAGCGCGUUAAUAUUUUCGGAGGUGAACCCAAAGUUAGCCGUGAAAUGAGGAAAAACCACGUCCUCAGCAGGUACAUCAAGUGAUUUAUGAUGGAGGCCGUGGUGUCGAUGCUCGUGCUCAGUACAGGCGGUGUGUCGAGUUCUCUUUUUAAAAUUGUCGUAAGUCCUUGUUCAAUUCACGAAAUAUUAUCUGAUUAAUUACAGCUGAUCGUCACUGAUGAUGGUUUUUAGAUUUUUUUCUUUUAUCAGCUGCUGUUUAAUGAAUGGCACUGGAUUCACUGCCUCGUGUUGUAUAUUUCAGUAAAACUAGCAAACGAACGCACUUACGUCCUGACUUAUCAAUUGUCUUCCCCAGAGUCCCUUACACCUUCCGCCGCGGGGACAUCCUCAUACUCAAAUUUUGAACGUCGUUACCACCUCCCGACUCCUUGUCGUUAGGCGCGUAUAUUCGAACCUCACAACCUUCCUUCUACAGGUUAAUGAUCUUGCCGAUAAUGAGAGACCCCGACUUGAUACACCUGACCCCUGCUACCCUCCCGACAGUCAAUGACCUUGGGCCCCGGCAGGGGCAAAGGCCGAGACAAGCAUACCUGACCAGGUACCCUCCCGAAGGUCAAUGACCCGGUGAAGGGAGAGAGGGGGGUAUGUUUUGGCGCCAGUGACCCAAGGGAGGGGGGAGGGGAAAGGGGGGUAUGUUUUGACGCGGAAAAGCUGUACUAUUCUACUAAUACGCUUUAUCAAGAGCUUCAAGAGGAGUUUUGAGACCGGAGUUUAUAUCCCUUUUGACCGAUUAUAUAGAUGACCUGCUUUUCACAUCAAAGUCAAUCGAAGACCAUUUCAAGCAUUAGAUAUAGUAUUUGGGACCCCACAAAGCCACAAUUUUACAAUGAAACUGAAGAAGUCGCUGUUUUUUCGGGAAUUCGUUUUAUUUCUAGGAUUUGCGCUGUGUACAAAAGGUAUCCGUGCCCACCCGAAAAGAGUCCAAACGAUUUGGGAAUUUAAACAGCCAACGAACAAAAAACAGUUACAGCGGUUCAUUGGUGUCUGUAAUUAUUAUCGCCAGUUUAAUUACAGAUACUCAAAUGCUAUUGAUGCAUUCAGAGACCUAUUAUCUAGCGAAGGAAAAUGGUAUUAAACAGAAAAAUACACAAUCGCAUUUAAAAACCUGAAAGAAAACUUUUUAGAGACAACAACAUUAUACCAUGUGAUUUCGAACAAACUAUUCACAAUACAGACGGACGCUAGUGACAAAGGGAUCAAUUAUAUCAAGAGGAUGAUCAAUGAAAUAAAAAUUUGAUUUUAGUCGUGAGCCGUUGUUUAUUGUGGUGUGAGAGGAAUUACACAACAAUGGAAAGAGAACUCGUGGUAAUUGUUUAUGCGCUUGAACAAUUUCGAAUCUAUGUCUACGGAAAAACAUUCGGAUUAUUAACCGAUCAUUACAGUAUGACUUUCCCCUCUAAAACGCCAUUUCGUAACGGCAGAAUCGUACAGUGGGGCUAACUCAUACAGCAGUACGAAUUUGACAUUCAGUUUUCCAAAGGAAACACAGAACGUUGUUGCUGACUUCUUCAGUCGCAAUCCAAACUUAGUGAUGAACGAGUAAACGAAAAUACAUAAUUGCAAAAUUAAACAAAACCACAGAUCAAUUCACAAAAAAAAAAUCCGUUGGAGAUUAAUACCUUAGACAGCGAGAUACGUGAACAAUUCGAAAACUUAGAAGAAUUACAACAGCAAGACCCCGAUAUCCAUGAAAUAAUUGAGACAACACAAGGUAGAGACGAGGCGAGGUAUAAGAUAUUUGAGAAGAUACUGUUUCACAAGGAAUUGCGUGGCGAUGAGAAUUGGCGUAUUGUUAUAACAAAAACAAUGAUACAAAAAAUAACAAAUAGGGUACAUUGUAAAUUAGAGCAUGUAGGGUAUUACUAAACAAUGAAAUAUUUAGGUCACUAUUAUUAUUGGAAACACAUGAACACUCAGAUUACUCAGAUUAAACAAAAUGUUCUGGCGUGUGAUCUAUGCCAAAGGAUAAUAAACAUAACAUACGCAAUGGAAGGUGAGUAUUGAGGGGGAGAAUCGUUGAAACCGGACGAUUUAAUCAUGGUCGAUUACUUUGGUCCUUUGUCUAGAUCCACGUUUGAAACUUUUUGAACAUUUUCUAUCCUACCAAAUACAUUUUUCUGAAUUUUUUCAGAUUUUCUUACCCAACCCAAAAAAAGUUACGAAUUUUGGAGAAAAAACCGCUCCUUUUUUCUUAAAUUGCGAUAACUUUUCCACAAAUUGAACUUUCGGCUCUUUUUGAUUAUUAAAUUUCUGUUUUUGAAUGUAGGUGUAACGUGCGACUUUGGGCGCGUCAACAAUUAUAAAGGGUUCGCCCCUUGCUGGAAGUUUUGAUAUGAUAAAGGUUCGACGAUUGGUGUUCUCGUGAUUACUUAUUUAUUAAUACGUAAGAAGCCCUAUUUGAUGAAGAGGAUUGAUGUUGCUCAGCCGGAUGGUAGUGGAGAGACUUUGGAGAUAUUUUUGCUCAGCCGGAUGUUAGUGGAGAGUCUAAGUUUUGAAGGAAUAGCGAGAAGAAGGAAGGCUCGAAAUUAGGUGGGGUUUUUAGCUGAGUUUGCAUGCCGUUGCAGCUAGCAACAGUCUGCAGAGUGAUGCGGUGGAGAAAUAGGAGAAGAGGAUGUAGAGGGUCGGGUUGAUCGUGGUAUAGUUUGAUUGUAAGAGAAGGAGAAAGUGAAGAAGAAGAAGAGGAGGAGGCGUUAGACGUAACAUAGGUUUCAGAAAAAAAUACAAAAAUUUUUUCGGAAGUCACCAUAUAUGAAAAUUUCAGUUUUUUCAAUAAAACCAUCAUUUUUUCGAACUUUGACCCCUUCGAUUCUCAAGUUUUUUGUCUCAAGAAAGAAUUCAAUUGAGACAGUAUUUAACCCCGCUAUUCUCAUUUUGUGCCGACUUUCCAUUCUAUUUGUUUUUUUUUAUUAAAAAAAAAAAAUGUGAUAUGGCUUAUUUUUUUUUGACUUUGCGCUGUAGUUUUUUUCACCGUGGGAGAGCCCGAACGGAUUUUAUCGGAUAAUGGAACGCAAUUUGCAUCCGCCAAAUGGAAAGUGACAUUAGAAAAUCUAGGGCUGAAUGUAAUUUAUGCAUCCGUACGAUCCUCAAUGGAAUCCUACGGAACGGACAAUGCUAGAAUCGGGGCGUUUUUUUCGUGCACUGGUUCGGAUAAGCAGAUCAAAUGGGCAAACUUUAUAAAAUAUGAUAAGCAGAUUUUAAAUGCAACUAUCCACAGAUCAACGGAGUUCAGCCUUUAUGAACCACAAUUUGGUCAUAGUCAUGAAGAUAAAAUUGUAAAACUAAUUAGAUUUCCCGAGAACGAAGUUGAAUCAUGAUUAUAAGAUUGAAAGAGCACGAAAAACGCUAUCUAAGACUUUUUCACAAAAACAGAAACGACAAAAAGGCGUGUCAAAGAUUAUUUCAAAUGUAGUAUUAGCUCGUAUACCUCACCAAUCAAAUGCGAUGAAAAAGGUCAUAAAGAAAUUGUUCGACAUUUAUUACGCCCGUUCGUAAUCGAUGAAGUAUACUGCAACAAUUCAUAUCGGCUUGGUGGCAAUGGUAAUAAAAAGAAACAAACAGAAAUUUAUAACCGAUACCAUCCAAGAAAGUACAAGCAGCCUACUAAUCAAUAAUUGAAUUUUAUAAGCAUGUGACCAAUGACGACUUUUACAGAAUCAACAUUUCUAAUUACGUAGACAAUUCUGGAAACAAUAGACGAUGGAUAACAGAUAAUAUUGGAUGAAAGACUGUUUAUACAUAUGCACGUGUAUGUGAUUAGAAUUAAGAAAAUAAAAUUUAGUAACGACGACACAUUUGCGAUUAUAAAAUGAGAGCAAUUAGUAAUUAGAGGAUGGACAAUUUAAAAAGGAUACAAUAUAUGAUAAUAAACUGAUUAUCUGAAAAGAGUUCAAUGGAAACCCUCACAGACGUUGUGAGGUUCGAAUAUACGCGCCUAACGACAGGGAGUCGGGAGGUAGUAACGAUGUUCAAAAUUUGAGUAUGAGGAUGUCCCCGCGGCGGAAGGUGUAAGGGACUCUGGGGAAAACAAUUGAUAAGUCAGGACGUAAGUGCGUUCGUUUGCUAGUUUUACUGAAAUAUACAACACGAGGCAGUGAAUCCAGUGCCAUUCAUUAAACAGCAGCUGAAAUAAAAGAAAAAAAUCUAAAAACCAUCAUCAGUGACGAUCAGCUGUAAUUAAUCAGAUAAUAUUUCGUGAAUUGAACAAGGACUUACGACAAUUUUAAAAAGAGAACUCGACACACCGCCUGUACUGAGCACGAGCAUCGACACCACGGCCUCCAUCAUAAAUCACUUGAUGUACCUGCAAAUAAAGAACCGACAAAUCAAAUAAAUGGAAAUUCCAAAAUAUCUCGAUCGUACCUGCUGAGGACGUGGUUUUUCCUCAUUUCACGGCUAACUUUGGGCUCACCUGCAAAGAAGAAAUCAGUAUAAAGAUAAGUGGAAUUUCACCAAGGAAACGAUUAGGGAAAAUUGUUCCUACCAUUCAAGUCCAGUGAAUCUCCCCAGAGGACAAUUUUACUAUAACUAUUUUAUUUAUACAAUUAUACACCGACUCUUAAUUCAUUCAUAUAUAUAUAUAUACAGUGCGUAAUAUUUACUUGCAACGAUUUUACGUUAUUUAUGUACAUAUGUGAGAGGGAUGUGUGAAUGUUUUGUAUUCUCGUUUAUUUAUAUUGAAUCGUUGUUGCCGUAAUAAGGAAAUGUUAUAAAAAUCAUUACAUAAUGAAAAGAUUCAGAGAAGCAAAAUUAUAACGGGGCAGUAAAAAGUUAUAGAAAACAAGUCAUGUAUUAUGGCGUGUUUUUUCUUUUGUUGAAUAAUUAGCUUGUCUAGGUGAUGUUCUCAAGAUUUAUGUUAUUCUAUUUGCCAACAUGGACAAGUAUGAAUAUCACGUCGUUCAGCAGUCAACUGACCAUCAGAUUACCCGUUCAGGAUUAGCAAUCCUCGACAUACACUUAUAAUACACUUACAUUGGAGAUUAGCUUUACAUUUAUCCUUCAGCAUUUACGUUAGAUAAUCAGUGAAGAUGCAUCCAAACCAGAUGGUCUAGACAACAAGUGCCUGUUUAGUUAACCUUUUUCAGCAGUCUCGGAAGAAUAUGAACGAGUGUCUUUCGAUUCGGAACAGCAUUAUGAUGAUUCUCGAAAGCAAUCAAGUAAUAAACAAUUGAGGAUAAAGUAAGGGGCAUUUUUUUAAAUAUCGCAAAAACUAAUCGAUAGUUUUAGAAUUUCAGAAAGGGUUCGAAAAGAGACGGGAAUUUCCCAAGACAAGUCCGAUUGGACGGAAUCGUGACAAUUAUUUUCAAUUCCUCACAGGGGUGGAAAUACGGCCGAGAACGGGUAUUCUGGUUUCUGCACGUCGUGCUCACACUGAACACUUCAACAAUAUAAAAUUUUCGAAGUUACUAAAUAUGAAUAUUAGGGAAUACAAGAAUUCAGGCUGUAAGAGUUAUGGUUUUGUUGCGUUCGUUCCCUGGUCAAUAUACGUAUAUGAACUUAAAACUAAAAUAUUCUUCUUGUAACGAUAUAUAGGUAUAUAUAAAGAGAGAAAAAGAGAGAAAAAGAGAAGAGAGAGAGAAAAUAAACAAACGAAUUAAGACAUAAAAACGGAUUACCAGCUCAUCGACACAUGAGCCAAACAUGGCCAACAUGGACAUCGUGAGAGCGGGACGCACUUGAACCAUUUGAUGUACUGGGACCGAGGAAUUGAAAUCUUGGGGCAAUAGAGUCGACCGAUACCCGCAAAAAUAUUCAGGACAAGUCAAUUACUGGAACUCAGGACAAACCGGUACAUCAAAAAUUACCGAUAAGAGACAAAAGAUAAGUCGCGCACAUUCCUUCUCUUUCUCAUUUCACGAACAUCGACGUUUGUUAUAAUUCUAUAUAUUAUUUAUUCGUCUGUAUAUCAAUUUCUAUAAUUUAUUCUCAUCACGUCCGAUUUAUUUUCAAUGUCUGUGUCAUAGAAAAUUGAUUUUAUUCAUACACUUUAUUUAUUUAUACAUCUGUAAUGUUUGUUAUAUUUUCUUUUUGACUUGGACUAAAAUUUUCUUUGUCUAUAUAUAUAUAUUUUAAAGAAUCUGAUUCGAACUGAGAGAUAUAUUUUGUGACGAAGAUACGAUGGUAAAAUAACUGCCACUUUUAAAUUUCAUGGACAUGCUAAAUUUUUGACGAUAAAUUUAUUUUAAAUUAUACCUAAUUCGAUUCUGCGUGAAUGUUCUGUGUUUGUCCGAUUUCAUGUGUUAGAAAUUAAGCGAAUCUAUUUAUUACAUCUUUCCUACUUUCUUUUUCCUUCAUUAAGUUAUUUAUUCUCUCUUUUACAAAUGAAAGAUGAACAAGAUUGCUAACAAGGAAAUAUCAAUAGAAAAAAAAGCAAUAUAAUAACUUGCGAAACAUAACAUUUAGGAAAUAAAAAUAAAAAAUCAUUUCAUACUUAAUUACUAAGAGAAAGAGGUCUAUUUUGUGGGUGUUUGAUUAGGUGCACGUAUAUUCGGAUUAGGUCUGUUCUGUUAAAUGAUGGUGUAGAUGAGCGUCCUUUCGGUGAGAAGAUAUAAAGGUGUCGGCGGCAGGAGUAGUAGUCGUUAUAUCGUUGUUCAGGUAUUUCAGUUUAAUUCAAAUUGCGUAACGAUACGGCGUCCGUGAUGAAUUUCGUUUUUUAAACGGCAAGCACUCGUGAGGUGUGCUUGUUCUUGUCUCGUCUCACAAUCGGUGGGUCUGUGUCGUUUGCUUGCACAUCGAUCUAGCCUAAUGCAAUUGCUGCACUGUCUUGUCUACGUAUAUUACUAUGUAUGAUGCUGACCACGUACACUUGAUUUAGCCCCAUAUGACACCACUGCCUCCCUAGUCACCACUUUGCUAGCAAGGUUAGGUGCCGACUGACUCCUUCCAUUCUUCUUAAUUGCUUCUAACCUCAUCGUUCUUCUCUUUCUUCCCGAUUUUCUUUCUCUUUUUUACUAAUCUUAUUACAUAGUAUACAGAAUCCUACAAGGCACUGACCGAAUAGAUAAGCAAACAAUAAUCCACUGGCCAAAAAUUCAAAUCGCGAUUUUUCAAUUAGUUUUCUAUUAUAUGAUUAACAAUUUUUCAACGCCUGGACAUGAACAUUGCAAGUGCAAUAAUUGUUGAACAAUACACCUGCGAUUUUUUUCUUCAAUCGGGGUUAUUUUUGAGGAGCUUCAGAAUAAAUCCCCGUUAAAAUGUGUAGAGAUUUCAAUUUUCAAUUUUUCUAUGAACAAUUUACGUAAAUAGAAAAUUUGAGACCCAAAUUGACCAUCUGUAAAAAAAAAAAUUUUCCGGAUAUUUUGAUUAAUCCGUUUUCUACUAUCAAAAACAACAUGCAAAUAAUUUUGAAAAAUUUUUAUAAGCAAAUGCUUUGUAAAUGAGAUGAUUGGAAUUUUUUUUUAGAACUGAAUGUUUGAUGCAAAUGGUUUUCUGAAAAAAUCGUUCCUUGGAAAAAAAAUUUUAUUGCUUGACAACAUAUCUGUCAAUGACCAUUUUUUUUACUACUCGAUAAUAGGGAACCGUUUCCCACUGAAAUCAUGAUUUACCUUGGUCUUCAAUAUUCGAGGAAAAUUUUUUGGUUCAUUCAAUCUUUCAUUGUUUAUUUGACGAACAAUUUGAUUCCACCGGGACAAACGUAUAUAAUUUUAUCAUUCAAAUAAACUUGACAUAUGCUACUGUGCGUUGUUUUUUAAAGAAGAAAAGUUCCUUAAUAUUGAUUCUAAGUGGUAAAAAAAAAUGAAUACUGAUCAACAAAUCCGUUUUGAAGCAAGAAAAAGUUUUUCUAAGGAACGAUUUUUUUUUUUUAAUCAUCAUUUACAUCACUGAUUUGGUUUCCACCAAAAAUUUUGUCAUCUUAUCAACAAUACAUUUGUUCAUAACAAUUUUUCAAACAAUUGGACAUGAAAAUUCAAGAUCAUCAUUUUCAUGAAGUUUUCGAUCAUAAAAAAACGAAUAAAUUAAAAUAUUUAGACAAAAAUAUUUUCUUGAUAUGGUAAAAUUCAUUCAUUCGAUUCAUUAAUUUCAGUUAUCAAUUUUUUUAUUACGUUAAUUGUUAAUGAAAAUUGAUUCAGUUUUCAAGAUAUUUGCAAAGAGCGAAGCCCCUUACUUUACACUUAAUUGUUUAUAACUUUUAAAAUUCUUGCGAGCGGAACUCGAUUUUUUAUGAAAAUCAUCUACGUGCCGUUCCGAAUCGAAUGACACCUUGUUCAUAUUUUUCCGAGACUGCUUGAGAAGUUGACCAGAAAGGCACUUGUUGACAAGACUAAUUCCAAGAAACUACCGAUAGUGGAAGAAUUUCGAAGACCAAAGAACGCUCAAGGUAUUAAACCUGGUGUACACACGCAUUUUAAAAUUGAGUAAAUUUAAGAAAUCUGUGAAUGGAUUGAUCACAAAGUGCGCGUAUGGACCAGACAUUAAAGAAUUCCUUGGCUGGGACGGCUACUGCAAAAGAUUUAUUUCUGAUUAUUCGAAAAAAGAUAAAUCACUCUUGAAUUUAUCAAAGAAUGAAGUACUGUUUCAAUGGAAAAAAUGAUAAGACGAAGCCUCUGUAAAUAUUCACAAGUGGAGUUCACGCUAUUUUUGGCCAUGAAAAAUCGAAAAUUGAACAUUUUCCAAGUUUAUUUUUUUUUCAAAUAAUUCUUUCACGGCGGAUUGAUGUAAAGAAAGCGUCAACAAAGACUUAAUAUUCCAAUCAUUUUUUGUAAUUUUAAAGUAUGAAAAAAUAAUCAUCUUCAAGUUCGGUAAUUAUGCCAAAUCUAAUGAAAAUUUUCUCUAAAAAAUAUAUCCGGCAUAUAGGGUCAUUUCUGAGUGCCUUAUUAGUAAUGGAAGAGUGAAAUUAACAAUUAGGUGGUGGUCAGGUAGCAAAGACCUAUAGGUGUCAUAAGUAUAGCUCGGCGCACUUACGUGCGAGACCACCUAUUUAACCCUUGGUCGCUCCCAGGUCAAGUCAAAUGUUCAAUUUUCAAAAUUCAAGUAUUUGUGUAAUCAAUUUGCCAUGAAGAUGGACAAUUUGGAGAAAAAAUCUAGGAAUGUUACUCUUUCGAUUUUUUAUGCCUAAAAAUAGCGUGGACCGCAUUCGAAAAUUGGGAAAUUUUUAAUUUCUGAGUUUUUUUUUUUAAAUUGAUUCAUUUUUCAUGUACUUAGAGAUAAAAAAUACCUACACUCUUUUGAAUAAAAAUUUUGACCAGAAAUAUGUUUUUUGGGAUUCAAAAAUUGAAAUAACUCGUUCAAAUAUCCAAUUCUUCAGAUUGUAGUAUUUUUUCCAUUGAUCUGCCAUUAAGAUAAACAAUUUAAAAAAAAUCCCAAAUAUCUGAAUUUUUAUCGAUUUUCAAUAGGCAAAAAUAGCGUGGACCCCACUGCUAAAUAACUACUGAGACAUUAAUAGAAUUAUGCGACAAAUUAUUCAAUGAACUGAUAUUACAGUACAGUAAAUUCAAUAAAUGAUUUCUGCGCCUUUGUUUAAAAAAUAAAGAUGAAGGUCUUGAGAAACUGAACGGGCCGAAUGUUGAUAAAGAAAGAAAUAAUAAUUAUAUUUCGAGAGCCACUUGACAUCUGGAUAUACGACUAUAAAAUAAACGGUACUGACAUAUCAACCAGUAUACCCGUAACAAACCAAGCUAGAAACCUUAGCGGUCACGUUCCACCGAGUAAAAGCGAUAAUUCAGACGCCUUGUCAACAACGACACUCAGCUAAGCUGAUUUAGAGCCUUAUGUAACUCCACACCCUACGCUGCAUAAUCAAGAUCGAAUUUGUGAACCGGAUCACUGUACUGAUUCAAAUGAAAACAAAGCUUCUGAAAAUUUCGACGACUCGACCAACGACGACGGUGACUACCCAAGCUUUCUUGAGCAUCAUGAAUCAGACGACGAUAGCUAUAAUGACUCAAAACCUCAUAACAUGGACCAAGAUACCCCAACUAGGGUAUUUUAGAAAAAACUUUUGUUCAAAUUCGAAGUCAAAGUUCCAUUUAUAUGAAACGAACCUCUAAACCAGCGAAUCUAAUGAAAAAUCAUGAGAAACUUUUUUUGUAGAACGUUCAAUUCUCUACAAAAAUAUGUCUUCGUCAACUCUGUAUAUUGACUUGUUAGCGAGUUAUAAAAUUCAGAAGCGUAAGAAAUAUCAUUUUUCCUGAGUUAAUGUUAUGAAAAAUAAAAAAGUGUGAUGAGAGAUACGUAAAUAUUAAUAUUAAGAGCUGAAAUUUCAACUGGCAUCUUUUUGAGUCCAAACAAAACUUUUGAGCCUGUUUCCAAAAAAAAAAAAAAACAAAAGUUCUUCCUGAAACACCGUAAGGACCACCUAUAUUUUGAGAUCAAUGAAAAUUCACAAAAAUCUACCCCUGACGAUACCAGAGACAGCGACCAUAAAAGGAACGCAUGCAAACAACAGCGACCAUAAAAGGGACGUAUCCAUAACUGACUUAGAAGCCGGAAUUACUUCUAGUCAAGCCCAAGCGACCCUUUACAAAAACCAUAUGUUGAUUUCGAACCAGAACAAGGAACAAUUCAAUUCUCUGAAACUCGAGAAAACCUUCCACUCUGAAAAGGCAAUAAAGUAUUCUUCACGUGGAUGUCCUUGAACUCGCAAAUAUCCUUCGGUCAGCUCUUAAACGACCCUCUUUUACAGAUGUAAUAUUCGGAAGACCCGUAGUUCAAGAAAAUGAAAAAACUCGCUACAUAAGUAACUAGUAAAAAAACGAUACGUAUAAACUUACUUUUGGAUAAAGACACACACAGUAAAGCUGCACAAUCGCUACACAAAGUAGUACCAGAAUCACAAUUAGAUGCCCCAACGAUUCUAAAAACUCGAAAUACAGGCAAUUGCACACACGGAUAUUGAUCGCCAGACUUCGUUAUAAUUUUCAACGUGACCGCGGAAGAUGGCGUCGGACUCCAACAGCGACGACUGCUGUCGGCGUUUGAAUUUAACUGUCAGACCUCUCAACUUGAAAGUUUAUAACUACGAAAACAAGAAUCUCAUUUCCGAAUAUGAGUCUGGCCAAUAUGAACUAUUUUGGUGAAUUCCAGUUUUUCCAAUUCAAAAUUCGAAAUAGAUAGAGAAACUUCCAAAAAAUUUGAAGUGGCGGACAGCCGAAUUGCAAAAGUUAUUGACGAUUCAGUGCAAAAAAAAAGGGUUGGUUAUUUGCUAAUAUCUCAAAAACUAUUACAAAUAUAUAAAAUCUGAAAAAGGAUCCCUAAAGAACAAGAAGUUUCCUUGAGAAAAGUACUACCUCCCGGAACUUUACCGCAAUUAUUUAUACUUGUGAUUAUGAGAUGGAAUUAGUGCUAAAAACGGGUGAAGUGAGUUCGGCACGCGCCUUACGCAGCGUAAGAAUUGUCGCCUUCGUAUUGUCUAUCGGGGCAAUUGCCUUCCGAUCUUUACGCCUGUCCAAGUGAAAUAUUUUCGCUUGUCCGCAGUGACACAUUUUUGACUGGUCCAUACUGGUACAGCAUUCAGGGUAUUAGCGUCAGCUACAGCUGACUGCCUAAUUUCAUGACCGUUACCUGAAGGAACGCUUGAGGAAAUAUAUCUUGGGAAGUCGGCCGGUGAGAAGCCGUAGCGCAGAAAGAUCCGUGGAACUAGGGAUCCUCCGAUUAGACCGCCGAUUUCGACCUAACAACCGAUAUUGUAAUUAUCGUUUUUUGUAUUGUAAUAACCUGACUGAUUGAGGUUUCAUAUAAUACCGAACGUUUUACAUUGUUAGUUGUAUAAUAAGGAUCACAGCCCAGUGAAGGAACUUAUUGUAUUGUAAAAUCCAGCCCCUCAACCGUUCAGUACCACAUCUACGCUAGCUGAGUUGCCGCCUGUCCCAAUUUUUUUUCAACUUCGUAUUUUUAUGUGAAUUCCGCUUUGUCAAGUAUUUCGUGAUGCACCAGCGUCCAGGCCCAAACCGAGUGUUCGAUCAGUUUCGUAGCUCCUUGAGCCGUGAAGCGGGAUGACACGAGUACUGGCGGUGCUGGUUCCCGCCAACGGCGUAUAACAACAAUGGUAAUUUCAACACUUGUAGCAGAUUUACAAUCAGUGAAAAAUGCUCGAUCUCGAAUGACCUGGUAGAAACUCAAAAAGAGAAGUUCCCGUUGAUGAAAAAGUCAUAAAUGCGGCGAAACUCCGCAAAGUAUUGUGGAAUAUAAAAAAUGAAUUGUACCACGACAAUCUCCACAAGAAGGAAAUUUGGGCUGAGGAUGCCUACGCAUUACAAAUGGAUGGUCCAGUCUGAUUAUUGAGUCAAGGUUUAUCAUCAACUGACUGUGAGUUUUGAAUAUCUGAAUAUUGGAAAAUGGCGCGGAAUUUGAAUGUUUUAAUGUCCUUCUUCAAAACUAUGGAGACUACAAACAGUAGUAGUGAUGACGAAAUUUUGCACAUAUUCAAUUCUCGUGUGGGAAUAGAUAGACCACAAGCCGAAUCUUAUACAGAUGUUGUCAGCGUAUACGAUGAUGAAGAGGUACAGUAAAAACAAGGCUGUGCCGAGAGAUGUAGCUGGGCGAUUUGGUAUCGAAGAAUCCACAAAACAUGCCAGCAAUGAAGAAGUAAUGGACUCGUCAAACUGAAAAAUACAAAGAAUAAGACGGAGAGAAAUUCCACAAUUGAAGGUGAACUUUUGGAAAAAAUUUGCACUUAUCAAGAUUUGCGUUUUCAUAAAAUAACAUCCAAUCGCUUUUUCUAAUGUUGUCGAGAAAGAAUAUGCUUAGACCAGGUAAUUGGAAAAAAUAAACUGUCAACAAUUCGAAAAAAAAUUGCAAUAUUUCUUAAUCUACCCGAUGUGAAACAAUAUACAGGCCACUCAUUCCGACGUACCCCAGCCGCCCUUUGCGCUAACAAAGGUACGAAGCUUGAAACAAUAAACUAAAAUAUGAUAAAAUAUAUGAUCUAUAAGAUUGGAAUGUAUGUCAUCAAAAAGUAUCUUUAUCUACGACAUCCUCUGAAUUAUUAUUUUUUCGGGUGCUAAUAUAACAGCAAUGAAAAUACUCAGAGACUGGAAGUCGACUGGAGUCAUCGAGAAGAAUCUUCAUCUACGUAAUCCACUGAAUUAUUAAUUUUUUGGGUGCAGAUAUAACAGUAAUGAAAAGACUCGUAGAAUGGAAGUCGACUACAGUGGCCGAAGUAUAAAUCGAAGACCAUUGGAUAUAAAAGAGAGAUGGAAAAAUAAAUUUUAAAUGCUAUCACAAUGGCGUCAACGUCAUUCGAAUCUUCAUCAUACCAACAACCUUUUAAUUGUCAGAAAUUGGAGCAAGAUAAUCACAAAAAUAAACACAGCAGCGUCAACAUCCAACGUCAUUGAAAAAGCAACUAUGUUCGACUCAUCAAUGAAUGUACACAAAACUCCGAUAACCAUAAAUAUGACUAAAUGUUUUACUGCAACAAUUAUUUUCAAAACUUAAACCUUCUUGGAAGAAAAAAAAAAAGAUUUUUCUGAAAUAAAUUCAUAUUUGGAAGAUACUCCAAAGACCUUCAAAA
Long non-coding RNA from Athalia rosae (coleseed sawfly), 18509 nucleotides. RefSeq lists it as uncharacterized. The record is from RefSeq and is a predicted model, not a curated record. The transcript is spliced from 5 exons. NCBI's taxonomy places the organism in Eukaryota, Metazoa, Arthropoda, Insecta, Hymenoptera, Athaliidae.